Molecule: transfer RNA, 69 nt
Filed under: Diaphorina citri (Asian citrus psyllid)
Lineage: Eukaryota; Metazoa; Arthropoda; Insecta; Hemiptera; Psyllidae
Rfam family: tRNA
About the family: Transfer RNA (tRNA) molecules are approximately 80 nucleotides in length. Their secondary structure includes four short double-helical elements and three loops (D, anti-codon, and T loops).
Source: Rfam by way of RNAcentral
UCCGAUCUGGCGAGGUGGUCACUGCGCUCGCCUUGCACGCGGGAGACCCGGGUUCGAUUCCCGGCGGAG